GAUGAACGCUAGCGGGAGGCUUAACACAUGCAAGUCGAGGGGUAUGGCAGCAAUGCCAGAGACCGGCGCACGGGUGAGUAACGCGUAUGCAACCUACCCUUUACAGGGGGAUAGCCCGUCGAAAGGCGGAUUAAUACCCCAUGGUACUAUUUUGCCGCAUGGCAGGAUGGUUAAAGUUCCAACGGUAAGGGAUGGGCAUGCGUGACAUUAGAUUGUUGGCGGGGUAACGGCCCACCAAGUCAGCGAUGUCUAGGGGUUCUGAGAGGAUGAUCCCCCACACUGGUACUGAGACACGGACCAGACUCCUACGGGAGGCAGCAGUGAGGAAUAUUGGUCAAUGGGCGCAAGCCUGAACCAGCCAUCCCGCGUGAAGGAUGAAUGCCCUAUGGGUUGUAAACUUCUUUUAUGUACCAAGAAUAUGCCCUACGUGUAGGGUAUUGACGGUAGUGCAUGAAUAAGCAUCGGCUAACUCCGUGCCAGCAGCCGCGGUAAUACGGAGGAUGCGAGCGUUAUCCGGAUUCAUUGGGUUUAAAGGGUGCGUAGGCGGUUUUUUAAGUCAGUGGUGAAAUCCUGCGGCUCAACCGUAGAACUGCCAUUGAUACUGAUAAACUCGAAUAUAGUUGAGGUAGGCGGAAUGAGUAGUGUAGCGGUGAAAUGCUUAGAUAUUAUUCAGAACACCGAUUGC
This 685-nucleotide ribosomal RNA is filed under the name uncultured bacterium. RNAcentral describes it as "bacterial SSU rRNA". It matches the Rfam family "Bacterial small subunit ribosomal RNA", at positions 28 to 716 of the family's 1533-position model. The record is from RNAcentral.